This 373-nucleotide long non-coding RNA is filed under the name Homo sapiens (human). RNAcentral's name for it is "HSALNT0265404". Lineage: Eukaryota; Metazoa; Chordata; Mammalia; Primates; Hominidae. The record is from RNAcentral.
CAGUUACAGGAUUCAUACCACAUGAUAGAUUCUAAAUCUUGGGAACAGAAUCAAGAAUCCAGAAAUGGAUGGAACCACACGUAUAUGAACAACUGAUUUUCAACAAAGAUAAAAAGGAAAAGCUCACCUAUGAAAGGGUGCUUCUCUCCAGCCAGACAAUAGGAGUAGGGAAGAGACCGAUGCUGAAUGACUCACGAAAAUACUGCAGGAAAUGACAGGACCGUCCCCAGAAGUCCCUUCCACUGCCUUUUGCCGGCUUGCUACAUAGAAGCUUGCAAGAAGGAUGAAUCACAAGAAAAAGGCAUAUUGUAACCUCACAUCAUAAAUUUUACAAAACUGCUUCAUAAAAAAUAACUUUGGGUCCAGGAACUCC